GCGGGUACCAGGGCCCCACUUCAUCCCCGCAACCUUUCUGGGCGGGCGCAAGGCGCUCGGGGUCCGGCCCUGAUAGGCGGGGCCACAUUGAGUGACGGCCCGGCCCCGCCUUCCGGUUUAGGGGACGCGGGGGGUGCUGCCAACGCGGAAGUGCUUCAAGCCUGCAUUGCUAUUAUGAAGCACAUCAACUUGUCCUUCGCAGCGUGUGGGUUUCUGGGGAUUUACCACUUGGGGGCAGCAUCUGCACUUUGCAAACACGGCAAAAAGCUCCUGAAGGAUGUCCAGGCCUUUGCCGGGGCUUCUGCUGGUUCCUUGGUUGCUUCCGUCCUGCUAACUGCACCAGAAAAAAUAGAGGAGUGUAACGCGUUCACCUACAACUUUGCCGAGGAAAUCCGAAGGCAGUGGUUUGGAGCAGUAACCCCCGGCUAUGAUUUCAUGGGCCGAUUGAGGAGUGGAAUGGAGUCGAUUCUCCCUCCCAACGCGCACGAGCUGGCCCACCACCGCCUCCACGUGUCCAUCACCAGCACCAGGACCAGAGAGAACUACCUGGUCUCCAGCUUUCCCUCCAGAGAGGACCUCAUUCAGAAAUGGAUAGACGGUGGCUUCACCGACAGCCUGCCCAUCCUGCCUGGCGGCCGGACAGUGACCAUCUCACCAUUCAGCGGGCGACUGGACAUCUCCCCACAGGACAAAGGGCAGCUGGGUCUCUAUGUCGGCAUCGCCAACCAGCACAUACUGCCUUACGGAGACAUGACGGACACACAACAUAAUGUCGAAGUGAUGAUUGGAUGACAUAUAAUGUGAUGAUUUGAGACACAUCUGAAGAGAGGAAUGGGCACCAAGUGUCCCUGGUGAAAAAAAGAAAAUGGAUUUUUCAGACUGCCACGAACCUUUCCUUUUCCACGUGUGUAAAGAGGGUGGCAUUUAUUUUCGGCACUACUUUAUUUAUUUUUAAAUUUGCAAACAUCAAAAAAUGGAGAACGAGCCAAGACUUGAGUAUUCAGAUAAUUGUAAGAAGUGGGUUGAGCUCAUGUCAGUAUUUGAAGGCAAGCCCAAGAAGGCAAUAGGAGAAGUUUCCUGUGGACGUUGGAGUAAGGAAUGGGCACUUGUUCCGUUCAAACAGUGGGAAAUGCUGAUCAAAACUACCAUGAGCUACCACCUCGCACCAGUCAGAAUGGCCCUCAUUCAUAAGUCCACAGAUAACAAGUGCUGGAGGAGCUGUGGAGAAAAGGGAACCCUCCUGCACUGCUGGUGGGAAUGUCAACUGGUACAGCCACUAUGGAGAACAGUUUGGAGAUACCUUAGAAAGCUAUACAUAGAACUUCCAUAUGACCCCGCAAUCCCACUCUUGGGCAUCUAUCCGGACAAAACUCUACUUAAAAGAGACACAUGCACCCGCACGUGUUCAUUGCAGCACUAUUCACAAUAGCCAGGACAUGGAAACAACCCAACUGUCCAUCCACAGAUGACUGGAUUCGGAAGAUGUGGUAUAUAUACACAAUGGAAUACUACUCAGCCAUAAAAAAGAAUGACAUCAUGCCAUUUGCAGCAACGUGGAUGGAACUAGAGAAUCUCACCCUGAGUGAAAUGAGCCAGAAAGACAAAGACAAAUACCAUAUGAUAUCACUUAUAACUGGAAUCUAAUAUCCAGCACAAAUGAACAUCUCCUCAGAAAAGAAAAUCAUGGACUUGGAGAAGAGACUUGUGGCUGCCUGAUGGGAGGGGGAGGGAGUGGGAGGGAUCGGGAGCUUGGGCUUAUCAGACACAACUUAGAAUAGAUUUACAAGGAGAUCCUGCUGAAUAGCACUGAGAACUUUGUCUAGAUACUCAUGCUGCAACAGAACAAAGGGUGGGGGGAAAAAUGUAAUUAUAAUGUAUACCUGUAAGGAUAACCUGACCCCCUUGCUGUACAGUGGGGAAAAAAAAAAAAAAGUGGGACAUAGAUCUGGACAUAUCCUAUUUCUUUGUCCAUCUCUCUUGUCAAAAGGUCUAGAAAUAUCCAUGUCUUCAUCUAAGCCUUGGUGAUGAAAUAAGUUCUGAUUCUGGAUAAGUUUUCUCCCCUACAUAGUUGUUGGGAUUUACGUUCAGCUGUUACCUUAUACUUAGAGAAUUUAUUUGCCAAACAGUUACAUGGAUUUCAAUUUAUUGUGCCUACAGGGCAUGCGUGUUUGGCUAAACCAGAGAAACCUACUCCAACAGGCUCAGGCAUUGGGAAACAGUCAUGUUGCAAACUCUUGCUGUAGUCAAACUGAACGUGGAGCCAAUGAAUCAUCAGACUUCUGACCUCGGGAAAAUUGUAUAGAUCAGUGGUCCUCUCUAAAUAAUAUAUGAAGCUGGAUACUCACUAAGUUUCACACUGAGGUCUGGGAGGAGGGGGGCUGUGGGUCACACUGAGUAGAGAUUAAUGAGGCUGUGUAUAUUUCCUGCUCUGUGGGCAAAUAAUUCAAUAUAUGCCAAGGAAGUCACUGAUGGAAAACAGGAGACCCUGCAUUGACGUGUUAGGUAUUUUGAGACCAUACUCAACGGAAAUUAAUUAAGUGCUACAGUAUCUGUGAUUAAAUAAUCUUUAGGGAAAACCAGAAAAUUCACGAAAAAGGAAAUGGAAGAGAAAGGAAGUAAAUUCUAGGCAGCAGGAGCAGAAACAAUGAUAAAGUAAGUUGUAAACAGUAGCCAAAACAACAAUAAACUAAGGUGUAGACACAGCUCAUUUGAGGCGUGUCCAGAACAGCCCCGUGUCCUUUAUAUUUUUCACAUUCUUGUGUCAUUUGGUUGGUAUGUGUUGGGGCGUGUUGCUGUGAGGAAUGGUAUUUGAGUGUUCAGGGAGGAGGGUGACUUUGUCAAAGCAAAGUCCAAGGUCUUGGACAGGGGACGGGAGUGGGAUUAACCAGAGACAGUGAUGGAGAAGCGGCAAAAGGCUGGGGAGUGGGGUGAAGCCAUUCCUGUUGGGGAUGCCAAAUCUGUGGGAGGAAGAGACAUUUUUUUAAGAGCCAUUGCAGGGUCGUGUGAUGUGAGUCUGAAUUUAAGUCCAUGAAAAUUUACUCAGAGGCCCAGAAGUCAAGUACAGGUGCUGGUGAAGGUUUCUGGAGAACAUCACAUCUGAGGUGAACCAGGAAUUCAAAAAGGACUAGUGAAGAGCCUCAGAGAAAGAUAAAAGGGGUUCCAUCCUGGGGAAAGGGAUGUUUCCUGAAGAUAUGAUGUGGGCACUGGUAUAAGACAUGUGACAAUGCAGCGAGAAGAGGGAGGUUGAGUGAAGAUGCAAGAGAUGUCCAGACAAAGGGAAGGACAUGUUCGAUGAUCGCACCCUUUAGGGGAUAGCCCACCUUUAAGUGAAUACGACCUUAGGGCUCUCCAUGACCUCAACCUUACUGGAUUCUCAGCAUCAUCUUUUAUCACACACCCUGCUGCCCAGUCUAAGCUUCUGUCUUAAAGCCGCUCCAGACUCCACUCCAGAUCAACGAGCAGGAUCUCUGAAGCUGAUUGGUCAUGGGCUACGAGGAAGAGGCGUCAGUGCAGUUCCCAUGUGACCCGGGGAGGGUGUCAAUCCCUACAGCUAUUCUGAAGGGCAACUUGCCUUCCUCUCUGCUAGGUGCUUUACAGAUAUUUUUGGAAGUGUUAUCUCUGUCCCAGAGAGGAUGGAAUAGCUUUGUGGCAAGGACAAGGGAUCAACUUAAAGUCCCAGGUGACAGCUUGCUUCUGAGCCCACAUGUGCCUGGCUCCCAAGGCCCUCAUCUUUUCAUGGCAUCACCUGCCCACCAAAGGUGAGGUACAAACACAAACUAAACAAUCUUAUGGUGCUUGAACGUUGCUUAUAUAAAAAUGGGGCUUUCUUAUAAUGCCAGUACUAGGAACCAGAAUGCAUACCUCUUUAAGAAUUUGCAACCCUAGGGAGUUCUGUUAGAUGCAGUGGGUUAAGGAUGGGGGAUUGUCACUGCAGCAGCUUGGGUUGCUGUUGUGGUGCAGGUUCGAACCCUGGCCCAGGAACUUUGAUAUGCUGCAGGUGCAGCCAAAAAAAACCCAUAGCUACAUGAUAUUGAAAUUUUAUAGGAUAUCACUGCUUGUAUUCCUCUAAGAAGUCAAUAUUACCAAGGCAUUCUUAUUUCUUCAUCAUAAUGCUUUAUGAUAUUAAUAUGUGUGUGGCACAGACUGAAUGUUUCUGUCCCCCACACCCCAACUUCACAUGUUGAAACCCUAACCCCCUGUGUUGGAAUUAGGAGGUGGGGCCUCUGGGAGGUGAUGAGGUUGUGGGGUGGAGCUCCCAUGCAUGGGAUUAGUGUCCUAAUAAAAGAGCCCAGAGAAAAGACACAGUGAGAUGACUGUGAACCAGGCAGCAGGUUCUCAGCUGACACUGAAUCUGCUAACAGUGUCAUCUAGGACAUCCUCGUCUCCAGAAACGUGAGAAAUGAAUGUCUGUUGUUUAUAAGCCAUGCAGUCUAUGGUAAUCUAUUAUAAUAGCCCAAACAAACUACAACAACGGGUUUGGGUUUUUCGGGGUUUUUUUGCUUUUGUCGUUUCAGGGCUACACCUGCAGCAUAUGGAAGUU
Non-coding RNA from Sus scrofa (pig), 4540 nucleotides. NCBI's taxonomy places the organism in Eukaryota, Metazoa, Chordata, Mammalia, Artiodactyla, Suidae. The record is from RefSeq and is a predicted model, not a curated record.